RNAcentral lists this long non-coding RNA (244 nucleotides) under Danio rerio (zebrafish). RNAcentral's name for it is "si:ch211-215a9.12 (ENSDARG00000103268.2)". The record is from RNAcentral. Lineage: Eukaryota; Metazoa; Chordata; Actinopteri; Cypriniformes; Danionidae.
ACGUUAGAAAGGGGAGAGGUAAGACUCAACUGAUGACCACUAGUUGUGAUGUUGGUGGAUAACCAGGAGGUGUUUGCAGUCAGUCAGGUAAACUUGCCAGCGAUUUCAGUUGAAGGAAAAGUUGAACAAGAAGGUCUUUCAUGGAUUCCAUGACCUCCUCUGUCUUCAGAGUGUAUAUGAUGGGAUUCAGCAUAGAUGGUAUUACCUGUCUCAAAGAGUUGUUAAAUAUUCGUGUGUUUGGAUC